Molecule: long non-coding RNA, 348 nt
Organism: Xiphophorus hellerii (green swordtail)
Lineage: Eukaryota; Metazoa; Chordata; Actinopteri; Cyprinodontiformes; Poeciliidae
Exons: 2
Source: RefSeq, a predicted model, not a curated record
GUUUCCAGACGGGUUCAGCCCACAGCAUCAUCCCUCCACCACCGCGCCGGACACUGAAGACCAGAGAACGUCCCAGUCAAAGCCCGGUUUCCUGGUUUAUACUCGUUAACGUUUCCAGCAGCCGGAGAUUUUAUCAGCCGUCUGCAGAAACAGAGGAACAAAGAAACCAAACCGGGUUUUAACAUCACUACCUGAGGUUAACGUCAAACCGGGUCAUUCCAGAACAAAGACUUUCCUCCAACCUGCUUCACUGGUACCAGCCGCCGCGGUUCUGACAGAUGUUUUGAUGGCAGCCAUUUUGGAUUUGAAGUUUCAUUAAACCUGCAGGCUAACGAUUCUGGAAAUGUU